Molecule: long non-coding RNA, 1572 nt
Organism: Gallus gallus (chicken)
Lineage: Eukaryota; Metazoa; Chordata; Aves; Galliformes; Phasianidae
Source: Ensembl
CUUGGAUAGAGCUAAUAGUGCUACAAAGUCAUUACGUUCCAGCAGGGUAGAAAGUCCUCCCAGGUAUAAAUGUCAAGUUUAUGGAGCUCCAAGACCACUUUCAAUGGGGCAUGUUCUUAUCACAUGCACUGAUGCAGGGACUCAUGCAAAGCCCUGUGCCUCGACAGCCAGCAGCACAGCUCUCACGAGUAUCUCCAAAGCUGUUUGUCCAGAGUUUAUUUGGGAUUGGUUUCCUUAAUUUCAUGCAACAGUCAUCAAAGCAAAACAGAAGUGGACGUGCUGCUGUCAGUGUGGAUGUGGAGUCCUCCGUGUCCCCCCUCUGCUCGUUAUCUGCAGGGACUGAAAUUUGGUUUGUUUUUUAUGCUUAGGAGCCAGAGAAAGCUAAGAUACUGCUUAAGUGAAGAGCCAUUAUUUACUGUUAAUAAAAUUGACACCGUAACACAUUCCGUAUGGCACAGAUAUGCAAUCACAUCUUGGCAUCAGUAACAGGAGGAAUUAUUCUGCCUGGCUUGCAGUCUUUUCUUCAUUGUACAAAGACAGUAAUUACCCAGCUUGGAACUAAAUGAACCCAACUGAAAAAAGCUGAUUGAUGAGAAAUGACUCCUGACUGCUUCCCAAACACAUCUUGGUUUGGAUGCCAUCACUGACAGCGCUGAUGCCAGCACCAGGUUGUGGCUCCUGCUGGGCAGUAUCCAUAGCCAGGAGUCAGUGUUCAGUGGUUUGGUCUCUAGGGGACUCCCAGCUUGAAGGAGUGAUGAAUAAACAGCGAUAAGCACGCCAUAAACCCUUCCAAACUGACCCAUUUACAUGCAAAGUUGGUAUGUUGCAAAUUAUGAUAAAUGUAGUGCAGGCAAGCCACUCCACAUUAAUUCCUGGGGUAAAGAUCAUGCAGUGGCUUACUCCAGAUUAGGAAUUACUUUGCAUGAGGUUUCUCCAUACAGUGUGGCUAUCAGUCAGUGUGUGAUAACUCCCUUUACAGCCCCAAAUACACCAAAGUCUCCACAUAUGCAUGUCUUUGGGCCAGGCUGUCAUCAUGCAGCAAGCUGUCAUUCCCAGGGCCAGCAAGAUCACCUGUUGCUCCCUCCAGCUUUUCCAUAUCAAGUUCAUGAAGUUUCUCUAAUUUUGCAUUUUAAAUUGAUCUAGUCAACUGCAAAUUGUUGGUUUUGUUGUUUUGUUGUUGCUGUUUUCACCCUUCCUGCAAAUGAAGCUUCCUGCAAAUGAAGGGAUCUGUUAUUCCAUUCAUCCUUUUUCUCAGCCCUGCACAAUUUUUCAUUAGCCGGUGAUGCAACAGUUUGCAAACAUGCUUUCCAGCUUGGUGUAGCUACUGAAAAGCCAGUGACCUUCUGCAUCCAGCUCGGGAGCAGUGUGUGCAGAGCUGCUGCGGAGCUGAGGAUGAACUUCCCAUGGUGAUGAAGAGGCACGAAGGAGUGUUUCUAAGUGCCCAGCUGCCUGCAUUCUUGUUGAGCUCAUCCUUUUAAGACUGCUGAGAGGUGAUUGUAUUAGUAAUGAUACGUUGCAGUGCCUAGAGGCCUGGAUAAAUAACUAAUGAGGCAUCUUAGUCAAAAUAAAAAA